UACGUAGGGUGCAAGCGUUGUCCGGAAUUAUUGGGCGUAAAGAGCUCGUAGGCGGUCUGUCGCGUCGGCUGUGAAAUCCCGAGGCUCAACCUCGGGUCUGCAGUCGAUACGGGCAAACUAGAGUAUUGCAGGGGAGACUGGAAUUCCUGGUGUAGCGGUGAAAUGCGCAGAUAUCAGGAGGAACACCAAUGGCGAAGGCGGCUUGCUGGGUCUAGACUGACACUCAGACGCGAAAGCAUGGGGAGCGAACGGG
This 253-nucleotide ribosomal RNA is filed under the name uncultured bacterium. RNAcentral's name for it is "partial 16S ribosomal RNA". It matches the Rfam family "Bacterial small subunit ribosomal RNA", at positions 524 to 776 of the family's 1533-position model. The record is from RNAcentral.